Molecule: non-coding RNA, 22 nt
Filed under: Rattus norvegicus (Norway rat)
Lineage: Eukaryota; Metazoa; Chordata; Mammalia; Rodentia; Muridae
Source: RNAcentral
UAGUUAUGACUGUGGCUGCCUU